RNAcentral lists this long non-coding RNA (1495 nucleotides) under Salmo salar (Atlantic salmon). RNAcentral describes it as "lncRNA (ENSSSAG00000088608.1)". The record is from RNAcentral. Lineage: Eukaryota; Metazoa; Chordata; Actinopteri; Salmoniformes; Salmonidae.
AAAACAUUUUAAGGUGGGUACAGAGGAGAGAGAGGUCCUCACCCUCGACCAAUCAGGUUUCAGGAAUCUGAGACUUCUAGAUGACGUGUCCCCGUGGAAUCCGGCGCGCUCCGUGAUAACAAGGGACGCAUUCCCGGAGGAGACGGCAUUAUCUACUUACUCUGAUCCGAGCUCGGCCGAGUCUAACUCGUCUUGAUCCAUGAGAUCGCUGAGAUCUUCUCCAGUACGCUGAUCCCCAGCGCCUCCACAGACAGCUUGUCCAGAACCAGGACCCUGCACCUGCUCAGCAGAGCUGCGUUCACCUGGAACAAAGGGUUCUCCGUGGUCGCCCCCAUCAGAGUCCCUGUCCCACACUCCAUAUGAGGGAGGAAGGUAUCCUACAUACAGACAGAAAACAAGAGACGGAGAGAUUUAAAAAAAGAGAGAGACAUGGGAGGAAAAGAAGUGCUGAGCAUCCAAAAAGUGACUCAAUAUGAAGGCUCAGACAAGAGGCCCAGCAGCCAUGAGAGACAGGCACCAGAGGUCCCCCUGCAGAGGACAGAGAAUGCCCACCAUGGUUGGGUGUCUCCCCCAGCCAAGGUGGCCAAGCUGAAGGUGGGCCGUCAGUGCACUGACAGCCAGAACAACAUAGCCAAGCUGGCGUUCUUCUACUACCCGGAGAGAGUGGAGACCAUGCGCUGCUUCUGGGAGCUGAAGCACAUCCAGCUGGAGGGAGGUUUUGAGGAGGACUGUUUUUUCCAAGUACCGGGGUAGCUGCAUUUAAGCCUGGCUCGGCGUUCCAAUUCAUUCCAAAUGUUUUGGGGAAGGCCCUUCCACACCGAUCUCAACAAACCAGUUAUCCACCUCGCUUUGUGCACGGGGCCAAUGUCAUGCUGAAAUAGGAAAGGGCCUUCUCCAAACUGUUGCCAUAAAGUUGUAAGCACAGAAUCAUCUAGAAUGUCAUUGUAUGCUAUAGCAUUAAGAUUUCCCAUCACUGGAACUAAGGGGCCUAGGCCGAACCAUGAAAAACAGCCUCAGACCAUCAUUCCACCUCCACACAGUUGGCACUAUGAAGCUCCCGACGAGCAGUUCUUGUGCUGACGUUGCUUCCAGAGGUAGUUUGGGACACGGUAGUGUUGCAACCAAGGGACAGAUGAUUUUACCUACGUGCUUCAGCACUCGGCAGUCCCGUUCUGUGAGCUUGUGAGGCCUACCACUUUGCAGCUGAGCCAUUGUUGCUCCUAGACGUUUCCACUUACAGUUGACCGGGGCAGCUCUAGCACUGCAGAACUUUGACGAACUGACUUGUUGAAAAGGUGGCAUCCUAUGACGGUUCCACGUUGAAAGUCACUGAGCUCUUCAGUAAGGUCAUUCUACUGCCAGUGUUUGUCUAUAGAGAUUGCAUGGCUGUGUGCUCGAUUUUAUACACCUGUCAGCAACAGGUGUGGCUGAAAUAGCAGAAUCCACUAAUUUGAAGGCAUGUCCACAUACUUUUGUAUAUAUGGUGUAUAUAUUU